Molecule: ribosomal RNA, 450 nt
Filed under: uncultured bacterium
Lineage: Bacteria
Description: bacterial SSU rRNA
Rfam family: Bacterial small subunit ribosomal RNA
Source: RNAcentral
AACGAACGCUGGCGGCAUGCCUAACACAUGCAAGUCGAGCGAGACCUUCGGGUCUAGUGGCGCACGGGUGCGUAACGCGUGGGAAUCUGCCCUUAGGUACGGAAUAACUCAGGGAAACUUGAGCUAAUACCGUAUAAUGACUCCGGUCCAAAGAUUUAUCGCCUAAGGAUGAGCCCGCGUCGGAUUAGCUAGUUGGUGAGGUAAAAGCUCACCAAGGCGACGAUCCGUAGCNGGUCUGAGAGGAUGAUCAGCCACACUGGGACUGAGACACGGCCCAGACUCCUACGGGAGGCAGCAGUGGGGAAUAUUGGACAAUGGGCGAAAGCCUGAUCCAGCAAUGCCGCGUGAGUGAUGAAGGCCUUAGGGUUGUAAAGCUCUUUUACCCGGGAUGAUAAUGACAGUACCGGGAGAAUAAGCCCCGGCUAACUCCGUGCCAGCCGCCGCUGUAAG